UACGUAGGGGGCUAGCGUUGUCCGGAAUCAUUGGGCGUAAAGCGCGUGUAGGCGGCUCGAUAAGUCCGCUCUGAAAGCCCGGGGCUCAACCCCGGGAGGCGGGUGGAUACUGUCGAGCUCGAGUCCGGAAGAGGCAAGUGGAAUUCCCGGUGUAGCGGUGAAAUGCGCAGAUAUCGGGAGGAACACCAAUAGCGAAGGCAGCUCGCUGGGACGGUAUUGACGCUAAGGCGCGAAAGCGUGGGGAGCGAACAGG
This 253-nucleotide ribosomal RNA is filed under the name uncultured bacterium. Its description in RNAcentral is "partial 16S ribosomal RNA". It matches the Rfam family "Bacterial small subunit ribosomal RNA", at positions 524 to 776 of the family's 1533-position model. The record is from RNAcentral.